Molecule: ribosomal RNA, 253 nt
Filed under: uncultured bacterium
Lineage: Bacteria
Description: partial 16S ribosomal RNA
Rfam family: Bacterial small subunit ribosomal RNA
Source: RNAcentral
UACAGGGGGUGCGAGCGUUACUCGGCUUUACUGGGCGUAAAGAGCGUGUAGGUGGUUCGUUAAGUCGAGUGUGAAAGCCCCGGGCUCAAUCCGGGAAGUGCACUUGAUACUGACAAACUAGAGUGCAGGAGAGGUGAGCGGAAUUCCCGGUGUAGAGGUAGAAUUCGUAGAUAUCGGGAGGAACAACAGUGGCGAAGGCGGCUCACUAGACUGUUACUGACACUAAGGCGCGAAAGCGUGGGGAGCAAACAGG